AAGCUGUGAGUCUGUUCAGCAGGAGGAAGAGGAGCUGAGAGCUUCAGGGAGGAGCUGAGCUGUUACUGAACUAUAGAAGAGACACAAACUUCCACAUUCAACACAGUUCAAACAUUAACUCUGAUCAUCAUGGACUAUUAUGGACUUUCUCUGCUGGUCGCCUCACUGCUAACAGGAAUCCGCUGUGAAGGACUGACUGCGGUUAAAACAGAGAUCUCCAGCUUAGAGGGCAGCUCUGUCACUCUGUCCUAUAAUUAUCCCAACCUGCAACCAGGAGAUUAUUUCUUCUGGUACCGUCAGUAUCCAGGAGAACCUCCAGAGUUUCUGAUCUCUCACUCUGCUUCAGGAGAUGAAGGAAUUAAAAAUGUUCCUGAACUGAAGAUUAAAGUGAACAAACCCCAGAUGGACCUGCUGAUCUCCUCUGCUGCAGUGACAGACUCUGCUGUGUACUACUGUGCUGUGAGGCCCACAGUGACAGGAAACACCAGAACUCUGUACAAGAACCUGCAAUAUUCCACAACAUCCACUAGAGGGCCUCACACACUGUUGAACCACUGAUUCUCAGGGCUGAUGAAAGAGGGCAGUCCUGUUAUUCACACUAAACCCUGAGCUCCUCUAGGCCAUGUAAAAACUGGAGAGUUGGGAGAGUACCUGAGCCUCACAUCAUGAUGGAGACAUUAAAAGUCACUGGACCAAUCCCUGUAUUUGCAAUCUCAUUGCUAAAAACUGCAACAAUAAACACUUUCGUAUUUAAACAUAUACACUCAAGUCUGAACUAUUUUGAUAAUUAUAUCUUAAAGGUGUUUUCUUCAGCACAGGCAUCUGAGCUCCAUUUUUUAACCUUAUUUUCACAAUAAACAUGCUAAACGAGAAGAGGAUACAGCAAUAAACACUAGAAAACAAGAACAUCUAUGGGUGG
Non-coding RNA from Cyprinodon tularosa, 919 nucleotides. NCBI's taxonomy places the organism in Eukaryota, Metazoa, Chordata, Actinopteri, Cyprinodontiformes, Cyprinodontidae. The record is from the annotation of a RefSeq genome assembly.